This 526-nucleotide ribosomal RNA is filed under the name uncultured Veillonella sp. RNAcentral's name for it is "bacterial SSU rRNA". It matches the Rfam family "Bacterial small subunit ribosomal RNA", at positions 30 to 525 of the family's 1533-position model. The record is from RNAcentral. Lineage: Bacteria; Bacillati; Bacillota; Negativicutes; Veillonellales; Veillonellaceae.
CGAACGCUGGCGGCGUGCUUAACACAUGCAAGUCGAACGAAGAGCGAUGGAAGCUUGCUUCUAUCAAUCUUAGUGGCGAACGGGUGAGUAACGCGUAAUCAACCUGCCCUUCAGAGGGGGACAACAGUUGGAAACGACUGCUAAUACCGCAUACGAUCUAACCUCGGCAUCGAGGAUAGAUGAAAGGUGGCCUCUAUUUAUAAGCUAUCACUGAAGGAGGGGAUUGCGUCUGAUUAGCUAGUUGGAGGGGUAACGGCCCACCAAGGCGAUGAUCAGUAGCCGGUCUGAGAGGAUGAACGGCCACAUUGGGACUGAGACACGGCCCAGACUCCUACGGGAGGCAGCAGUGGGGAAUCUUCCGCAAUGGACGAAAGUCUGACGGAGCAACGCCGCGUGAGUGAUGACGGCCUUCGGAUUGUAAAGCUCUGUUAAUCGGGACGAAAGGCCUUCUUGCGAAUAGUUAGAAGGAUUGACGGUACCGGAAUAGAAAGCCACGGCUAACUACGUGCCAGCAGCCGCGGUAAUA